This 459-nucleotide ribosomal RNA is filed under the name uncultured bacterium. RNAcentral's name for it is "partial 16S ribosomal RNA". It matches the Rfam family "Bacterial small subunit ribosomal RNA", at positions 338 to 795 of the family's 1533-position model. The record is from RNAcentral.
CCUACGGGUGGCAGCAGUGAGGAAUAUUGGUCAAUGGUCGGGAGACUGAACCAGCCAAGCCGCGUGAGGGAUGAAGGUACAGAGUAUCGUAAACCUCUUUUGUCAGGGAACAAAGGCGGGGACGUGUCCACGGAUGAGUGUACCUGAAGAAAACGCAUCGGCUAACUCCGUGCAAGCAGCCGCGGUAAUACGGAGGAUGCGAGGGUUAUCCGGUUUUAUUGGGUUAAAGGGGUGAGCAGGCGGUCUGUUAAGUCAGCGGUCAAAGCCCGGGGUUAAACUCCGGACCGCCGUUGAAACUGGCAGUCUCGAGUUGGAGAGAGGUAUGCGGAAUGCGCGGUGUAGCGGUGAAAUGCAUAGAUAUCGCGCAGAACUCCGAUGGCGAAGGCAGCAUGCCGGCUCCACACUGACGCUGAGGCACGAAAGCGUGGGUAUCGAACAGGAUUAGAUACCCGAGUAGUC